Molecule: non-coding RNA, 110 nt
Organism: Acanthosepion pharaonis
Lineage: Eukaryota; Metazoa; Mollusca; Cephalopoda; Sepiida; Sepiidae
Source: the annotation of a GenBank genome assembly
UUACGGUCAAAUCACCUUGAAACACCUGUUCUCGUAAGAUCACUGAAGUUGAGCAACGUCGUGUCUGGUCAGUACCGAGAUGGGUGAUCGCUUGGGAAUACCUAUAGUCG